CAGUCGCCGCGGUAAUACAAGGGGGGCAAGCGUUGUUCGGAAUUAUUGGGCGUAAAGGGUGCGUAGGCGGUUUGGCAAGUUUGGUGUGAAAUCUUCGGGCUCAACUCGAAGUCUGCAUCGAAAACUGCCGGGCUUGAGUAUGGGAGAGGUGAGUGGAAUUUCCGGUGUAGCGGUGAAAUGCGUAGAUAUCGGAAGGAACACCUGUGGCGAAAGCGGCUCACUGGACCAUAACUGACGCUGAUGCACGAAAGCUAGGGGAGCAAACAGGAUUAGAUACCCGGGUAGUCCCUGUCUCUUAUAC
RNAcentral lists this ribosomal RNA (301 nucleotides) under uncultured bacterium. Its description in RNAcentral is "partial 16S ribosomal RNA". It matches the Rfam family "Bacterial small subunit ribosomal RNA", at positions 509 to 807 of the family's 1533-position model. The record is from RNAcentral.